Phragmites australis (common reed) is the source of this 140-nucleotide small nucleolar RNA. RefSeq annotates it as small nucleolar RNA Z247. The transcript has a single exon. NCBI's taxonomy places the organism in Eukaryota, Viridiplantae, Streptophyta, Magnoliopsida, Poales, Poaceae. The record is from RefSeq and is a predicted model, not a curated record.
CCCCUUCGUGAUGAUGAAGUUAUUGCUUAUCUUCUGGCUGGUCUUGGUCCGGAUUAUGAUCCAUUUGUCACAUCCAUGACCACCAAGAACGAGGCACUAACCCUAGACGACGUCUACUCCUAUCUGAUGGCGUUCGAGGC